GAUGAACGCUGGCGGCGUGCCUAAUACAUGCAAGUCGAACGCUGGAAAUCUAGCUUGCUAGAUUGAAGGAGUGGCGAACGGGUGAGUAAUACAUAAGCAACCUACCCACGAAGACUGGGAUAAUCUCUGGAAACGGGGACUAACACCGGAUAGGUAAUCGGAAGGCAUCUUCUGAUUAUUAAAGGUUAAAAACACUGGUGGAUGGGCUUAUGGCGCAUUAGUUAGUUGGUGAGGUAACGGCCCACCAAGACGAUGAUGCGUAGCCGGCCUGAGAGGGUGAACGGCCACAUUGGGACUGAGACACGGCCCAGACUCCUACGGGAGGCAGCAGUAGGGAAUUUUCGGAAAUGGGGGAAACCCUGACCGAGCAACGCCGCGUGAGUGAUGACGGCCUUCGGGUUGUAAAGCUCUGUUGUAAGGGAAGAACGGUAGAUAGAGAAUAUCUAAAUGACGGUACCUUACCAGAAAGCCACGGCUAACUACGUG
This 486-nucleotide ribosomal RNA is filed under the name uncultured bacterium. RNAcentral describes it as "partial 16S ribosomal RNA". It matches the Rfam family "Bacterial small subunit ribosomal RNA", at positions 28 to 507 of the family's 1533-position model. The record is from RNAcentral.